AGUGAACGCUGGCGGUAGGCCUAACACAUGCAAGUCGAACGGCAGCACAGUAAGAGCUUGCUCUUACGGGUGGCGAGUGGCGGACGGGUGAGGAAUACAUCGGAAUCUACUUUUUCGUGGGGGGUAACGUAGGGAAACUUACGCUGAUACCGCAUACGACCUACGGGUGAAAGCAGGGGAUCUUCGGACCUUGCGCGAUUGAAUGAGCCGAUGUCGGAUUAGCUAGUUGGCGGGGUAAAGGCCCACCAAGGCGACGAUCCGUAGCUGGUCUGAGAGGAUGAUCAGCCACACUGGAACUGAGACACGGUCCAGACUCCUACGGGAGGCAGCAGUGGGGAAUAUUGGACAAUGGGCGCAAGCCUGAUCCAGCCAUACCGCGUGGGUGAAGAAGGCCUUCGGGUUGUAAAGCCCUUUUGUCGGGAAAGAAAAGCAGCAGGUUAAUACCCCGCUGUUCUGACGGUACCCAAAGAAUAAGCACCGGCUAACUUCGUG
RNAcentral lists this ribosomal RNA (492 nucleotides) under uncultured bacterium. RNAcentral's name for it is "partial 16S ribosomal RNA". It matches the Rfam family "Bacterial small subunit ribosomal RNA", at positions 29 to 507 of the family's 1533-position model. The record is from RNAcentral.